UUUUUGGGUCUUUCCGUAAUAUGUGGUAUAUUACGGGCCCAACAUUAUUUAUUCAGACAUUAAUUUUUAAGUUUUUCAUGUAUCAAAAUUCGUUAAAAUUAGAUGGGGUAUCCCUACAUAGCGGGAGAGACCCACUUCGAAUGGUUCCUAGAGUCUUCAAAAAAGAAUAAAUACAAUUGCAUUGCAUGAACUAACAGAUGCGAUCAUACCAGCACUAAUGCACCGAGUCCCUUUAGAACUUCGCAGCUAAUUUUGCUUGUGUAAGUUUAGUCCUAGGAUGGGUGACUUCCCGGGAAGUCCUCGUUUUGCAUCCCUUUUGUUUUGGCUAAAACUGUGUGACUCUAUAAUUUUUAGACCAUGAGGCCAAACUUGGCAUGUGAUACCUUAUCAGAAAUCACAAAGAGAACUGUCUAACGAAAGAAGCAAGACAAUGGGUCAAGGUACCAUUGCUUUUUUACUCCAAAUUUUGACCUUUACGUACUUUUUCGGGUCUUUCCUUGAUCUAUGUUGAAUUAAGGGCCCAAAAUUGAUUGUUCGGACAUUGUUUUUGAAUAUUUUUCAUGUUUCAAAGCUCCUUAAAACUAGAUGGGGUAUCCCUACAUAGCGGGUGAAACCCAC
RNAcentral lists this small RNA (618 nucleotides) under Arabidopsis thaliana (thale cress). The record is from RNAcentral. Lineage: Eukaryota; Viridiplantae; Streptophyta; Magnoliopsida; Brassicales; Brassicaceae.